GAUGAACGCUGGCGGCGUGCCUAAUACAUGCAAGUCGAGCGAACGGACGAGAAGCUUGCUUCUCUGAUGUUAGCGGCGGACGGGUGAGUAACACGUGGAUAACCUACCUAUAAGACUGGGAUAACUUCGGGAAACCGUAGCUAAUACCGGAUAAUAUUUUGAACCGCAUGGUUCAAAAGUGAAAGACGGUCUUGCUGUCACUUAUAGAUGGAUCCGCGCUGCAUUAGCUAGUUGGUAAGGUAACGGCUUACCAAGGCAACGAUGCAUAGCCGACCUGAGAGGGUGAUCGGCCACACUGGAACUGAGACACGGUCCAGACUCCUACGGGAGGCAGCAGUAGGGAAUCUUCCGCAAUGGGCGAAAGCCUGACGGAGCAACGCCGCGUGAGUGAUGAAGGUCUUCGGAUCGUAAAACUCUGUUAUUAGGGAAGAACAUAUGUGUAAGUAACUGCGCACAUCUUGACGGUACCUAAUCAGAAAGCCACGGCUAACUACGUGCCAGCAGCCGCGGUAAUACGUAGGUGGCAAGCGUUAUCCGGAAUUAUUGGGCGUAAAGCGCGCGUAGGCGGUUUUUUAAGUCUGAUGUGAAAGCCCACGGCUCAACCGUGGAGGGUCAUUGGAAACUGGAAAACUUGAGUGCAGAAGAGGAAAGUGGAAUUCCAUGUGUAGCGGUGAAAUGCGCAGAGAUAUGGAGGAACACCAGUGGCGAAGGCGACUUUCUGGUCUGUAACUGACGCUGAUGUGCGAAAGCGUGGGGAUCAAACAGGAUUAGAUACCCUGGUAGUCCACGCCGUAAACGAUGAGUGCUAAGUGUUAGGGGGUUUCCGCCCCUUAGUGCUGCAGCUAACGCAUUAAGCACUCCGCCUGGGGAGUACGACCGCAAGGUUGAAACUCAAAGGAAUUGACGGGGACCCGCACAAGCGGUGGAGCAUGUGGUUUAAUUCGAAGCGACGCGAAGAACCUUACCAAAUCUUGACAUCCUUUGACAACUCUAGAGAUAGAGCCUUCCCCUUCGGGGGACAAAGUGACAGGUGGUGCAUGGUUGUCGUCAGCUCGUGUCGUGAGAUGUUGGGUUAAGUCCCGCAACGAGCGCAACCCUUAAGCUUAGUUGCCAUCAUUAAGUUGGGCACUCUAAGUUGACUGCCGGUGACAAACCGGAGGAAGGUGGGGAUGACGUCAAAUCAUCAUGCCCCUUAUGAUUUGGGCUACACACGUGCUACAAUGGACAAUACAAAGGGCAGCGAAACCGCGAGGUCAAGCAAAUCCCAUAAAGUUGUUCUCAGUUCGGAUUGUAGUCUGCAACUCGACUACAUGAAGCUGGAAUCGCUAGUAAUCGUAGAUCAGCAUGCUACGGUGAAUACGUUCCCGGGUCU
This 1372-nucleotide ribosomal RNA is filed under the name uncultured bacterium. RNAcentral's name for it is "bacterial SSU rRNA". It matches the Rfam family "Bacterial small subunit ribosomal RNA", at positions 28 to 1381 of the family's 1533-position model. The record is from RNAcentral.